This 492-nucleotide ribosomal RNA is filed under the name uncultured bacterium. RNAcentral's name for it is "partial 16S ribosomal RNA". It matches the Rfam family "Bacterial small subunit ribosomal RNA", at positions 29 to 507 of the family's 1533-position model. The record is from RNAcentral.
AGUGAACGCUGGCGGUAGGCCUAACACAUGCAAGUCGAACGGCAGCACAGUAAGAGCUUGCUCUUACGGGUGGCGAGUGGCGGACGGGUGAGGAAUACAUCGGAAUCUACUUUUUCGUGGGGGAUAACGUAGGGAAACUUACGCUAAUACCGCAUACGACCUACGGGUGAAAGCAGGGGAUCUUCGGACCUUGCGCGAUUGAAUGAGCCGAUGUCGGAUUAGCUAGUUGGCGGGGUAAAGGCCCACCAAGGCGACGAUCCGUAGCUGGUCUGAGAGGAUGAUCAGCCACACUGGAACUGAGACACGGUCCAGACCCCUACGGGAGGCAGCAGUGGGGAAUAUUGGACAAUGGGCGCAAGCCUGAUCCAGCCAUACCGCGUGGGUGAAGAAGGCCUUCGGGUCGUAAAGCCCUUUUGUUGGGAAAGAAAAGCAGCAGGUUAAUACCCCGCUGUUCCGACGGUACCCAAAGAAUAAGCACCGGCUAACUUCGUG